CUUCGGCCCGAGUUGUAAUUUGCAGAGGAAGUAUUUGGCGCGGUGCCUUCCGAGUUCCCUGGAACGGGACGCCAUAGAGGGUGAGAGCCCCGUCUGGCUGGACACCAAGCCUGUGUAAUACUCCUUCGACGAGUCGAGUAGUUUGGGAAUGCUGCUCUAAAUGGGAGGUAAAUCUCUUCUAAAGCUAAAUACCGGCCAGAGACCGAUAGCGCACAAGUAGAGUGAUCGAAAGAUGAAAAGCACCUUGAAAAGGGGGUUAAACAGUACGUGAAAUUGUUGAAAGGGAAGCGUUUAUGACCAGACUUGUGCCGUGUGGCUCAUCCGGGGUUCUCCCCGGUGCACUCCACACGGUUCAGGCCAACAUCGGUUCUCGUUGGGGGAUAAGAACAGUAGGAACGUGGCCCUCUUCGGAGGGUGUUAUAGCCUAUUGUACGAUACCUUGAUGGGGACCGAGGACCGCGCUUCGGCUAGGAUGUUGGCGUAAUGGUCAUUAGCGACCCGUCUU
RNAcentral lists this ribosomal RNA (505 nucleotides) under Melanconis stilbostoma. RNAcentral's name for it is "partial 28S ribosomal RNA". It matches the Rfam family "Eukaryotic large subunit ribosomal RNA", at positions 131 to 655 of the family's 3401-position model. Lineage: Eukaryota; Fungi; Ascomycota; Sordariomycetes; Diaporthales; Melanconidaceae. The record is from RNAcentral.